Long non-coding RNA from Aotus nancymaae (Ma's night monkey), 2180 nucleotides. The record is from Ensembl. Lineage: Eukaryota; Metazoa; Chordata; Mammalia; Primates; Aotidae.
CCUACUGGUCCCGGGUGCCGCGCGUGCGCACUUUGGGUGUGCGGGCCAGUGCCUGAUGGGAGUUGAUACCGCUGUACCAGAGCGUACCUGGCCCGAGCCACCCUGAUAUGAUAAAUAGCCAAAGACGUCAGUGACACGAACACAGUAAGCAUAGUAGGAGCUGAAAAACUAGAAGCAAUGAAAAUGUCAACUAUUUUGAUCAAAAAGUAGCAGUGUCUUCAGAAUUUGAUCAUAAAACCAGGAAUUAAAGGAUGAGAAAACCAUUUUUCUGAAGCUUAUACUUUCACAUUUCCUAGAGAACAUAUUUGUAUGGAUGGGGCAAGUCACAUUGCGGAGGAGGAUGAGGAAUGUGAAAAAGAGUUCAACCCUACCUGCCACCUGGAUCCUAGAAACCAGAACAUAGAGUCCAGUCUUCCCUGGCCAACUGACGUCCACUUAUGGAUUCAUGAACAUGAGGAUAAAUAAAAAUUGUAUUAAGCUACUGAAAUUGGGGGUGAUUUAUUACACAGUAUAUUGUGCCCAUAUCUGAUUAAUACAAUGGCAAAUUUAUUAAGGAUGUUUUAUCUAGGGCAUAGAUGCUUUGGUGAGGAAGGAGACUUCACAGUAUCUGUUAGAAACACAGAAACAACUCUGUGAUCUUUCUAUUGUCUUAUCCUGCUUCCAAGAACGUAUGCUCCUUCAUUCAGAUAACAGAAGGACCAGCUAGAAAAGCCUUAACCCAGACAUCAAACUGUAAUAAACUGCUUAUUAAUAAUUUAUUAUUACAAUACAGCACAUUGUAACAACACGGAACAUGAAUGUAAUGUGUUUCUGAAUAGGUAGAUGCUCUUGUUGGCUUCCUUAACAGCAAUCACCCUAUGUGCUUAGAUACACCAGCCUUCCCAGGAGAAGAUGGACUGUGAUGAGUCUUGGUCAAUAUUGGUACAUCAACUACCCCUGACAAAGGCUUACUUAAGAGAUGGACACAUGGCUGAAUUCUUGCCCAUGAUAUAAUAAAGAUCAUUUGUUGAGCCCUUACCAUUGCCAGGCAUUUGAUGGAUUAACCCAGUCUUCAAAUCAGUUCUUUGAGAUUGGUUCUAAUUUUAUCCCAUUGCCCUAGGAUAUGCAGCUGAAAUAGCAGGAAUAAAAUACAAACUCAGGCUACUUUUAGGGUCUUCCCUAGUAACUAUGACUCCUUUUGGCCAUAUUCAUUUAUACAUUUACCCAACCAACAGAUUGACAUUUAUCAAGAUUCUGCCUGCCUAAUUAUUUGUAGUGAAACUACAGGAGACAAUAAAAACACAAGACUUCCAUCUUCUUCAAGUGUACAUUUUGACUGGGGAGAAAAAGAUGUUACAAAUAAGCUGUGUGUUUUUGUGGUUGUGUAUUAUAAAAAUGGAUGAGAGAGAAAGAGCCUGAAGUGGUGGGAUUUAGGGCUUGUUUUAGAGUUUUCAGGGAAAUGGCUCUGAGUAGAUACUAUCUAAGCAAAGGCUACAUUAGAGUAAGGGAGUAAGAUUGUCAAGAUCAUAAGAGAAUUGUUGAGAUACUCUGGGUUGUACUGAGUGCUUCCUGGCAGUGAAUAUCAUUAUAUAAUUGUGGAGAUUUUUUGAACUUUCAUUGCCUAAACUACCAUCAUAUAUUCUAAUUAUCCACCAUUUUUAUGCAGCUGGCUGUAGCACACAGCUCUCCUUAGGUGCACUGCCAGUGCAUGGGGUUCUACGACUUGGCACGAAAAGUCUGAGGUGCUUGGAGCACUCUCCACACCAUUUGAUUCAAAAUCUGAAACUAAUGCUGAGGGAGAAAAAAGCACAUUCACACAAAUUUUAAUUAAUGUUCCAGGUCCCCUGCUAAACAAUUUUUUAAACAUAAUGUAUCAUUUAUUCCUCACAAUUAACCUAUGAAGCAGUUGCUACAAAGACCUUUGAGCUGUGGCUAUUUCUGCUCAUUCUGAGCCAGGGUUCUGAUUGUACGGCAGUCGUUUAAAAAGGGGCACCUUUCAAAGGACGUUUCUCUUUCACUGCUCAUGUCUACUCUCCAUGGGUCUUAGCAAAGGCUGGUAUAUUUGUGACAUGACUAUAGUGUAGAAUGUGAAACUAAAAUGAGACUUGCUUGAGAGAUAUUUUGGUUCUGAAGGGAGAACAAUAUUUCAUUACUUAUUUCCAUCACUCUUAGAGUAGAUGAACAGAAAAUGUCUGCCCCCA